Long non-coding RNA from Eurypyga helias (sunbittern), 298 nucleotides. RefSeq lists it as uncharacterized. The transcript has 3 exons. Lineage: Eukaryota; Metazoa; Chordata; Aves; Eurypygiformes; Eurypygidae. The record is from RefSeq and is a predicted model, not a curated record.
GGCAACAGGCAGAACCUCGAACUGCUCCUGGAAAUGUCUUUUAACUGCCUGGAGGAUGUGGAAAGCACCAUUCCAGUCAGCCCUUUGCACUUAGCUGCCUAUAAUGGUCACUGUGAAGCCCUAAAGACACUUGCCGAAACCCUCGUGAACCUCGACGUGCGGGACCACAAGGGACGGACGGCACUGUACCUCGCCACGGAGAGAGGUUCCACGGAGUGCGUGGAAGUGCUCACCAGCCACGGUGCGUCCGCUCUGGUGAAGGAGAGGAAGAGGAAGUGGACCCCUCUUCAUGCUGCAG